This 2491-nucleotide long non-coding RNA is filed under the name Sus scrofa (pig). RNAcentral describes it as "lncRNA (ENSSSCG00040042987.1)". The record is from RNAcentral. Lineage: Eukaryota; Metazoa; Chordata; Mammalia; Artiodactyla; Suidae.
ACUUUCAUUCCUAUGUAGUCAUACAGGGCCUAGCUUCUUCUACCAUGAGUUUUGCUUUAUUUCCAACAAAUCUCUUUUUCCUGAUUGCAAUCUGAAAGUGCAGUUUUGGUUUUAUGUUUUCAUUAUCAAUAGCAGCUCAGGUUAUUCAAUAAUUAAGGAACGGAUUAUCUCCAUCCUUGGGCAGCAUUUUCCAGCUGGAACAGAUUUUAGAUCUCCUUUUCCAGGUAGGAAGAUUGAAGCCCAGAGGUUCAGUGACUGUCCCAAAGUCUCCUACCAAUUUCACAUCUGAGCUGAGACUAGAUUCCACGCUUCUUGGCAUCCAGCCUGGUGGCUUCCUCCUUCACCAAGAGCACUCACCUCUGGAAUGAUGGACUGGAAGCGGUAACCUAGUACAGUUAGACAUGGAGCCUGCAUACAUGUCUGCUGUAAUUAAAGCAGGCCUGAGAAAUAGCGUGUUUUACUUCUAGUCUUAACUCUUAAGUCACAUGCACGUGCCCUUCUAUAGACAGAGUAUCAGGAUGUUUGAAAAGAUGCUAGAGCUUAGUAGGUGGUGAGGCAAAGUUCAGGCAUUGCUGAGAAUGUUAUAGCUUUACCUCAGAACUUCUGAUGUUAAUAAAGGAACAGAUGCUGAAAUUGGCUAAAAUGAGCAGAGGAAACAGGGUGGGCAGAGCCUCAGACUGAGAGCGUACGAGGCAGGGCCUAGGCAAGACACACAGUCUGCUUUCUAAUCUGGAGCCUGGAGGAUGAAAGCUGGGAGAGAAACUGGAAAGGGACCGUGGGGCCCCACGGUAGGCAAAGGGAUGAGUGUUCCAUUGUUUAAGCAGUAGGGGGUCAUUGAAGGGUUUUUUCCCAUUUUUUUUUAUUGUGGUAACAUAUACAUGACAAAAUUGGCCACCUUCACCAUUUUUCAAUAUACAGUAUUAAAGGCACUCAUGAUGCUGUACAGCCAUCACCACCCAGCCGUCUCCACAGAUCUUUUCAUCUUAUAAAGCUGAAGCUCCAUAAUAAAGCAUCGACUCCCCAUCUCCCCUCUCUGAGCCCCUGGCAGCCCCUGUUGUACCCCUGUCUCCGUGAAUGUGACUCUACUCUAAGUAUCUCAUAUAAGUGGCAGGACACAGUGUUUGUCUCCGUGGAGGAUGUUUAAGCAUGUCUUCAGAGCUUCGGAACGUUUCAAGUGGCAGCAGUAGGAUGACUUCAGGAUGCAAAGAGGUCAGAGAAGGGGAUUCCUGGGCCACGGAAGGUCACAUGAGGAGCUGUUUUGGAAGAAGGUUCUCCACCUGCUUCCUGAGACCACUUCUUCGUGCUCGAUUCUGAGCUCCUGAAAUAGAGGAGAUAAACUUUGUAAUGUCCAAGCUGUAAGCACCAAUUUCUGUUUGAGUGAUGAUGUUUACAGUGUAGUUAAGCCAACCCGAGUGCUAAGUAUCCACAGGGAGUUGCCUGGCCCACUGGUGUCAUCCUGGGGCCCUCCUCAGGCAGCUGUAGUGAACCCCCUCGCUCCUCAAAGCACAAGGCCUGAGCCAUGACUUUCAUACACUCUGACCUUGACCUGGACUUGACUUAUGGAGUCCUCAGGCCUGUGUCCGCCACACAGUCCUCAGGGGCUUCUCCUGGACUUUCCAAGAGGGAUCAGACCGGCCACUGGGGGUCACAGACAGAGAAACCAAAGGGAAGGAGCCCACCACCCUCAAGGCGUGGCUGUCCUGGAGAGUGGCGCCCAGUGGGAGGCAGUCUGGAGUAAUGAGAGGAAGGGGGACUGUGGAUUUAGACCCACCUGUGUGAAUUUCACUUUUGCCAUUUAACAGCUAUGGGCUGGCUAAAUGGGGGUGUCGGGAGGGCCAAAAGAGAUGCUAAGGAUGGCUGCCGAUCCUCCAGCAUGUGCAAGCCCUCGGGCGAGUGGUCUGUGGCAUACUUUCUUAUCCACAAUUUUAUGGAACACUCACAGCUCUCCUGCAUAUUAUAUGGUUGCCUUUACUCAUUUAUAACUGAAGCAGCAAAAGUUUCACCUGGGCAGCAUGCUUAAGGUUUCAAAUACCAGCAGUAUCAGAGAUUUGACACGCCUGUACCUGUCUUUCCCCUGCAUCACUGGCCUUUAAGUACCUGUGUGGGCCGUGGAGCUGGAAGGAUGGGCUAGUCUGGUUGAUCAAAUUGAGGCCCCGUGUCUGUCCUUGGGAUGUGUAUGUGGUGGUGGUAACAAAGGUGGGUGGAGUGCUGGUGGUGGCCAGUGUACUUGGCGGCACAUCCAGUCCACACAGAAGAAACUUCGGAUUCGUUUCCACUGUGCCACGCACGACAGGAACUCCUCAUAUCUGCUUUAUAGUAACUUUCUCGCUGACUGAUUUUACUCACUUCCUAGCGCUUGACACAGAAACCACAAAGAACUACCUAAAAAAGGAAAACACUGAUUUUACACGCCAGUAAAAAAGUACAUUUUGAGGAAAUUAAAAAAAAAGCCCAAAAAACCCAGUGGCUACCCUACAUUGUAAAUUCUAAA